GACGAACGCUGGCGGCGUGCUUAACACAUGCAAGUCGAACGGAAAGGCCCUGCUUUUGUGGGGUGCUCGAGUGGCGAACGGGUGAGUAACACGUGAGUAACCUGCCCUUGACUUUGGGAUAACUUCAGGAAACUGGGGCUAAUACCGGAUAGGAGCUCCUGCUGCAUGGUGGGGGUUGGAAAGUUUCGGCGGUUGGGGAUGGACUCGCGGCUUAUCAGCUUGUUGGUGGGGUAGUGGCUUACCAAGGCUUUGACGGGUAGCCGGCCGGAGAGGGUGACCGGCGACAUUGGGCCUGCGAGAGGGCCCAGACUCGAACGGGAGGCAGCAGGGGGGAAUAUUGCACAAGGGGCGGAAGCCUGAGGCGGCAACGCCGGGUGCGGGAAGCCGGCUUUGGGUUUGAAAACCGCUUCCGCCUGUGACGAAGCGGGAGUGACGGUACCGGGAAAAGAAGCACCGGCUAACUACGUG
This 468-nucleotide ribosomal RNA is filed under the name uncultured bacterium. RNAcentral's name for it is "partial 16S ribosomal RNA". It matches the Rfam family "Bacterial small subunit ribosomal RNA", at positions 28 to 507 of the family's 1533-position model. The record is from RNAcentral.